GGAGCAGUCCCAGCCCCUGCAGGAAGAUCCAGGACAGGACCAGACACAAGAACAGGACCGUGCCCGUGGCCGCUUCCGCAGGGCAGCACAGGCCUUUCUGAAAUUCUUGGGCAUUCGGCGCAAAAGGACCACAACCAGACCGACUGAGGUCAUGGCACAGCCUGACCCCAGCCCGACUGAGCUUGAGG
Molecule: long non-coding RNA, 188 nt
Organism: Chiroxiphia lanceolata (lance-tailed manakin)
Lineage: Eukaryota; Metazoa; Chordata; Aves; Passeriformes; Pipridae
Exons: 3
Source: RefSeq, a predicted model, not a curated record